UCCCUGGUGGCUCAGUGGUAGAGAAUCUGCCUGCCAAUGCAGAAGUCGCAGGUUCAAUCCCUGGGUUGGGAA
This 72-nucleotide transfer RNA is filed under the name Bos taurus (domestic cattle). It matches the Rfam family "tRNA". From Rfam's summary of the family: Transfer RNA (tRNA) molecules are approximately 80 nucleotides in length. The record is from Rfam by way of RNAcentral. Lineage: Eukaryota; Metazoa; Chordata; Mammalia; Artiodactyla; Bovidae. RNAcentral also lists the same sequence under 3 other names.